ACUUGAGAGCACUAGGCUGAGUGGAGUUGGCAUAUUGGGGCUGCCCUGGUUUGAGACCAAUUGGAAUGAAGUAAUUAAUCAAGCAGGAAUUAGAAAAGAAAGUGAUGAAAUUCCUGAUAUAAAGGAAAUUCCUGCAAAGUGAGAAGUGCUGAAAUUACAGCUUUGGUGGAGCUUCUGUUGGUGUUCCGAGCUGAAAAGAAGCUUUAGAAAGCUGAGAGCAACUUAGAAAAGCUUCUAAUUCAGGUCGACGACGCGCUAAUUACGGUAGAGGCCGUUCUAGUUCUAUUUAUACUGAGUCGCGAGAGUUAGUUGUCGACACAUUCCGAGACGUGAGAUCUUAGUUGUUGACACCACUACAGGUUCCAGUACGAGUGCUGUUGCCGAGGAUCGUGGCAAGGGCCCUGCAGCUUAGUUAGCCGACACCAGAGUUUAGUGGUUACCAUUUUGAGAUCAUGUAUCAUCCAUUUUGAUGUAUAUACAACAUGUAGAUAACUAAAUGUUUCAGUUAUGUAAAGUUUUGAAUUACAGUGAAUUUCAUUGUUCAGUUACUUUA
Long non-coding RNA from Ananas comosus (pineapple), 553 nucleotides. RefSeq lists it as uncharacterized. The transcript has 4 exons. The record is from RefSeq and is a predicted model, not a curated record. Lineage: Eukaryota; Viridiplantae; Streptophyta; Magnoliopsida; Poales; Bromeliaceae.